Molecule: unclassified non-coding RNA, 195 nt
Filed under: uncultured Tomentella
Lineage: Eukaryota; Fungi; Basidiomycota; Agaricomycetes; Thelephorales; Thelephoraceae
Description: sequence contains ITS1
Source: RNAcentral
CCGAAUCGUCGACACGAGUUGUUGCUGGCCCUCAAACCGGGGCAUGUGCACGCUCUGUUUGCAUCCACCCACACCUGUGCGCCCUCUGUAGCUCUGCGGUCCGGGGGACCCCCCUCUUCCGUCCGCGGUUCUACGUCUUACACACACUGUGACACGGUUUUAUGGAAUGUACGCAGCGUUUAACGCAAUACAAUA